GAUUUAACGGCCGCGGUACUCUGACCGUGCGAAGGUAGCACAAUCACUUGUUCUUUAAAUGAGGACUAGAAUCAAUGGCGUCACGAGGGUUCCACUGUCUCCUUUUUCUAAUCAGUGAAAUUGAUCUCCCCGUGAAGAAGCGGGGAUAAUAAUAUAAGACGAGAAGACCCCAUGGAGCUUCAAACUCAACGGAUAACUCUACAACUUACUAGAUAUCUUAAGAGACCUAUCCAUUAGUUUUGGGUUGGGGUGACCACGGAGAACAGCCUAACCUCCGUAAUGAAAAGAAUAAAAUCAUAAUCUAAGAGCUACACCUCUAAGAAUUAACAAAUUAACAUACAAUGAUCCAAUUUUAUUGAUCAAUGAACCAAGUUACCCUGGGGAUAACAGCGCUAUCCACUUCUAGAGUCCAUAUCGCCAAGUGGGUUUACGACCUCGAUGUUGGAUCAGGGUGUCCGAGUGGUGCAGCC
RNAcentral lists this ribosomal RNA (470 nucleotides) under Ptychadena cf. neumanni 2 SB-2013. RNAcentral describes it as "partial 16S ribosomal RNA". It matches the Rfam family "Bacterial large subunit ribosomal RNA", at positions 1921 to 2560 of the family's 2925-position model. The record is from RNAcentral. Lineage: Eukaryota; Metazoa; Chordata; Amphibia; Anura; Ptychadenidae.